Lycium ferocissimum is the source of this 1702-nucleotide long non-coding RNA. RefSeq lists it as uncharacterized. The transcript is spliced from 2 exons. Lineage: Eukaryota; Viridiplantae; Streptophyta; Magnoliopsida; Solanales; Solanaceae. The record is from RefSeq and is a predicted model, not a curated record.
GUUUUUGAAGUUUUCUUGGUGAAAAGAAUGAUAAAAAAUAUUGAGUGUUGAUUUUGACUUCGAUACUAUUUUGAUAGUGGAUAUUCGAGAUUCUUUGUCUUUUAAGUUUUACUUUGAAGAUCAUCUCAAUUUGGUUCUGAAAAAGUUUAGUUAUAAAAUGGGCAUGAUGCUACCAGUUGGAUUUUCGUUGAUUUGGUUGCUGUUUAUUUGUCCAAUUUUGUAGCAUUUUGUUUCUUCCUCUCAUGUGGACUGUUACUAUGGCCUAUCUGCCAAAUGGUGUCUUAAUGUUUUGGUAUUUUAAUUUUAGUUAUCUAUCAAAAUUUAUGACUCAUUAGCCAUUCUUCUUUGUUUCCCUAGAAAGAAAAUACAACACAUUUGUUAAUAUGGUUUAUCUUUAGUUAAUUUGUUAAGGAGCAAUAGUAGUAUCUUUUAUGUUAAAUUCAUAAAUCCCUCCCUACAACUCAUGAAUUAAGAUUUCUCACAGCAACAAGGUCUACUCGACACGAAUUCCUGAGAGGUGAUCUAUGUAGAGAAAAGGAAACUGGUUGCUGGUCCAUCAACAAUGAAGUUUGAGUUUGACUCGCAACAUAGAAUACGUAUCUCCCUUAAUGCUCAAUCCAAGUCCUAUUUUACUGUGAUUUCUAGGGUUUAUUUGUUCAUUUAUAUAUGUAAAAUCGAUCUUCCGUGUAAUUCCAGAAUUCGUGAUGAAAGAAUAUUAUGUAGUACAAUCUUUUGAACAAUUCUUCCGUACGACAAGCUUUAGCUUUUUGAUUUUUAGCAGAAGAUAAGUUUAUGUGCUGCUAAUAUUUAGUAGAAAAUUGUAUAGUAUACAAUAUUUUUUCAAAUUUAUAAUGGAUAAGUUUAUAUUUUCAAUUAAAUAUUUUAGCUUGCAAACAGAAAAAUAAUUAAGAAAGAGAAGGUCAAUUUUCAUGUUUUUUAAUUGUAAUUUACCUGUUAUUCUGGUAGAUACAAAAAUUAAGAUUUUUUUAAAUAAAUUAAAAGCAGCUAGGAUCGACGAAGCUUCCUUUAUGUUCUAUUUUUAAUUCUAUUGAUGUUUACUGUUAUUUUAUCAUUUCUCUCUGAUUUCAAAAGUGCUUCAUUUUUUUUCCUUGUCAAGCUACCUGGGAGAAAUUUAAGUAUUUGCUUUUUGUUCCUUAUGAUGUAGUCUUGGUCCUUAGCUGUGUGGCUGACAACUAUUCAUAGUGUAUCUUACUGUGAGAAAUUCAAGAAGAAAUUUAAGCAGGAAAAUCCUAAUGCGAAGAUUGUGCUAGCUGUUACUUUCAUAAUCAUGUUUCUCCCCUCCAGGUCCUCCCAGGGCCAUGUGUCUGCAGUUUCCCACGGGAAAGGAAGGCCAAAAGAAAAGAUCAAAUUAUCAUCCAGUAUAAACAAUUGAUGGCCUAUGAAAUUUUUUGUUGAUGACUUCAUGUUCCUUGGAGACUUUACUCCUUACUGUGAGGUAUUUCAAGAAGUUGAAAAAGGAAGUCAAGAAAGACCAAGAGCUGGAAUGAAGGAUCAAAUGAAGAUCCAUGAGCGCAUAGUAAUUUUCUACUUAAAGGUACCUUUUAGUUGUCUUAUACUAUCUUACCUCACUACUUGCGAUAAUCUUCUUACUGUUGGAUUAAUAUUGUGAAAGAAUAUCCUCAUAACUUGCAAUAAUCUUCUUAUUGUUGGAUAUUUUAAAUCAUCCCUGAAUAUUGUGAAA